Molecule: non-coding RNA, 208 nt
Organism: Pelobates cultripes (western spadefoot toad)
Lineage: Eukaryota; Metazoa; Chordata; Amphibia; Anura; Pelobatidae
Source: the annotation of a GenBank genome assembly
AGGGCGUAAUAGUACGCCCUCCGGUCUUAAGGGGUUAAUCCAGCCUCUUGAGGGAGUGGGAUCCUGAGAGUGAGGGGAACCUAAAGACCCUAUAGUGCCAGGAAAACAAGUUUUUUUCCUGGCACUAUAGUGGACCUUUAAUGAAAAUAUUUGGAAACUACAAUUUUACGUUGCAUCCAUUUGGGAAUCAUAGUUGUCAAACAUACAG